AGUGAACGCUGGCGGUAGGCCUAACACAUGCAAGUCGAACGGCAGCACAGUAAGAGCUUGCUCUUACGGGUGGCGAGUGGCGGACGGGUGAGGAAUACAUCGGAAUCUACUUUUUCGUGGAGGAUAACGUAGGGAAACUUACGCUAAUACCGCAUACGACCUACGGGUUAAAGCAGGGGAUCUUCGGACCUUUCGCGAUUGAAUGAGCCGAUGUCGGAUUAGCUAGUUGGCGGGGUAAAGGCCCACCAAGGCGACGAUCCGUAGCUGGUCUGAGAGGAUGAUCAGCCACACUGGAACUGAGACACGGUCCAGACUCCUACGGGAGGCAGCAGUGGGGAAUAUUGGACAAUGGGCGCAAGCCUGAUCCAGCCAUACCGCGUGGGUGAAGAAGGCCUUCGGGUUGUAAAGCCCUUUUGUUGGGAAAGAAAAGCAGCAGGUUAAUACCCCGCUGUUCUGACGGUACCCAAAGAAUAAGCACCGGCUAACUUCGUG
This 492-nucleotide ribosomal RNA is filed under the name uncultured bacterium. Its description in RNAcentral is "partial 16S ribosomal RNA". It matches the Rfam family "Bacterial small subunit ribosomal RNA", at positions 29 to 507 of the family's 1533-position model. The record is from RNAcentral.